Molecule: long non-coding RNA, 497 nt
Filed under: Trifolium pratense (red clover)
Lineage: Eukaryota; Viridiplantae; Streptophyta; Magnoliopsida; Fabales; Fabaceae
Description: long non-coding RNA (TPRA_LNC006363)
Source: RNAcentral
UUUAGUAUCCGUUUAUAUAAACCAAACCACGACAAAACAAAACAAAACUAAGGCGUCUACAUACACAUGAUGUUUCAUCAUUGAAUGUUUUGUUGACAUAUUAACUACUGUACUCUAGACUAGAGACUCUAUCUUUGAUUGAAAAUUCUCACCUUCUUCAAUUUCUGUGCACUUCUUUCUAUCACACUCAAUUUCUUGUGCUAACAACAAGGUACGUUUUUCAACUCAGCUUACCACUACUUAGUUCAACCAUCUUUUUCAGUGCAUUGCUUGGUUUUUUGUGUAGAAUUAAAUUUUAAUCAAAGAUGCAAUUUUUUCUUCUUUUUAUUGGAUCUAGAUUUACUUUUGGAAAACCCAUUUGAUUGUUUGGUAAUUGGGAUGUGGUUUCUUAUUUGUACAGUGAUGAAAUGAAAUGGGUGAGUUUAAAGUUAGUUUCUUUGUUUCUAUUUUGGGUGCAAAUUGCAUUUCCAUGUUUGAAGAUGUUUGGUUUAUUUUUC